AUCCUUUAAAGAAAGCGUAAUAGCUCACUGGUCUAGUGAUUUUGCGCGGAAAAUAUAACGGGGCUAAAGUAAGUACCGAAGCUGUAGACUUGAUUUUAUCAAGUGGUAGGAGAGCGUUCUAUUUGCGCCGAAGGUAUACCGGUAAGGAGUGCUGGAGCGAAUAGAAGUGAGCAUGCAGGCAUGAGUAGCGAUAAUUAAUGUGAGAAUCAUUAACGCCGUAAACCCAAGGUUUCCUACGCGAUGCUCGUCAUCGUA
RNAcentral lists this ribosomal RNA (255 nucleotides) under Campylobacter lari. Its description in RNAcentral is "partial 23S ribosomal RNA". It matches the Rfam family "Bacterial large subunit ribosomal RNA", at positions 1118 to 1376 of the family's 2925-position model. The record is from RNAcentral. Lineage: Bacteria; Pseudomonadati; Campylobacterota; Epsilonproteobacteria; Campylobacterales; Campylobacteraceae.